This 81-nucleotide transfer RNA is filed under the name Blastobotrys adeninivorans. RNAcentral's name for it is "tRNA-Leu". It matches the Rfam family "tRNA". Rfam says of the family: Transfer RNA (tRNA) molecules are approximately 80 nucleotides in length. Their secondary structure includes four short double-helical elements and three loops (D, anti-codon, and T loops). Lineage: Eukaryota; Fungi; Ascomycota; Dipodascomycetes; Dipodascales; Trichomonascaceae. The record is from RNAcentral.
AUCAAUCUGGUGAAAUUGGUAACCACGGGACACUUAAAAUGUUCUGCUUAAUGCUUAAAGGUUCAAGUCCUUUGAUUGAUA